This 164-nucleotide ribosomal RNA is filed under the name uncultured bacterium. RNAcentral describes it as "partial 16S rRNA". It matches the Rfam family "Bacterial small subunit ribosomal RNA", at positions 355 to 511 of the family's 1533-position model. The record is from RNAcentral.
UAGGGAAUCUUCCACAAUGGGCGAAAGCCUGAUGGAGCAACGCCGCGUGUGUGAUGAAGGGCUUCGGCUCGUAAAACACUGUUGUAAGAGAAGAAUGACAUUGAGAGUAACUGUUCAAUGUGUGACGGUAUCUUACCAGAAAGGAACGGCUAAAUACGUGCCCG